Molecule: ribosomal RNA, 404 nt
Filed under: Acidobacteriota bacterium
Lineage: Bacteria; Pseudomonadati; Acidobacteriota
Description: Acidobacteria bacterium partial 16S ribosomal RNA
Rfam family: Bacterial small subunit ribosomal RNA
Source: RNAcentral
UGGGGAAUAUUGCACAAUGGGGGAAACCCUGAUGCAGCGACGCCGUGUGAAGGAAGAAGUAUUUCGGUAUGUAAACUCCUAUCAGCAGGGAAGAAGAUGACGGUACCUGAGUAAGAAGCACCGGCUAAAUACGUGCCAGCAGCCGCGGUAAUACGUAUGGUGCAAGCGUUAUCCGGAUUUACUGGGUGUAAAGGGAGCGUAGACGGAUAGGCAAGUCUGGAGUGAAAACCCAGGGCUCAACCCUGGGACUGCUUUGGAAACUGCAGAUCUGGAGUGCCGGAGAGGUAAGCGGAAUUCCUAGUGUAGCGGUGAAAUGCGUAGAUAUUAGGAGGAACACCAGUGGCGAAGGCGGCUUACUGGACGGUGACUGACGUUGAGGCUCGAAAGCGUGGGGAGCAAACAAG